Molecule: long non-coding RNA, 413 nt
Filed under: Phascolarctos cinereus (koala)
Lineage: Eukaryota; Metazoa; Chordata; Mammalia; Diprotodontia; Phascolarctidae
Description: lncRNA (ENSPCIG00000031480.1)
Source: RNAcentral
UUGUGAGAGGUAUGGCUCUCAACUGACUCCUGGGAAGUCACCAAAGAGCUAGGGCUACAUUUAGAACUGACAGUCUGGGGUCCAAGAAUUGAACUACGAAAUCAAGCACACCGACAGUCUGAGAAUAUUCAGAAGAUUUUCAGCCAUCCAUGUCAUCUCCCAGGGUAGGUACCUGUUUGGCUAGGCUCAUAAUCUGCUAGAGGUUAUUAUUAUUGUGUUCCUGUGUGUAAUAGCUACAAGUUCCUCUGGCAACUCUCUAAGCAGCGACAGAUAGCCUGUACUUUCCCACUGUCCUGAUUCAUUCUAAUCCUAUGUCAAACAUAUAAAUGGUUGCAACUUCUGAGUGGACAGUACUUCUGGCUGACUGCAGUGACUAUGCAUCCCAUUUCUGAGAUAUCUGAAAAGCUCCCCCA